GCACUUCUGAGGAGUCACACGAUAGGACGAAACGGCCGUCCAGUGC
This 46-nucleotide non-coding RNA is filed under the name Schistosoma margrebowiei. Lineage: Eukaryota; Metazoa; Platyhelminthes; Trematoda; Strigeidida; Schistosomatidae. The record is from RNAcentral.